RNAcentral lists this small RNA (3201 nucleotides) under Saccharomyces cerevisiae YJM1549. RNAcentral describes it as "ICR1". The record is from RNAcentral. Lineage: Eukaryota; Fungi; Ascomycota; Saccharomycetes; Saccharomycetales; Saccharomycetaceae.
UCGAAAGACAUUCAUUCAAGAGAUCCUAACGUGAUUAUCGUAAAUAGCUGGAAUUGUAGAUAUUUACAAUGACAUAGAUCAUUUUUCUUCGACGUAAUUACGGCCUAAUGUCGAGACAAGAAUAAUAUGACGCUGAUCUGUGUUUUGACAAGAAUAUGAAUGAUCUUAAGAAAAGGCUUCGCUGAAUCAAUUGGAAGACAGCGUCUUCAAUUGUCCUACUAAAUUCUUUACGGAUGACAUCUGGGUCUGGGGAGAUCAUGCAAAAAAAUAAGACAUCAUUUAUAACUUUCAACCUUCCGCUCACAGGACAAAUUCUCGAAGACGCUACGAAAAGAUGCUGAGCUUGAUCAUAAUUCUUCAGGCUCCCAAUUCAAGAAUACAAUUACUUAGCGUGGGUGCUUCUGCUCAGUCUUCGUUUCCUAUCUCCACAUACGAAUCACUCGCUUGUUACUAAUUCGAAUAAUUUACUGCUGUAAGGAGUCGUACCGCCAACUAAAUCUGAAUAACAAUUUGGCUGCUAGAAGUCAAAAAGUAGGCGCUGCAAUGAUUAUGUGGUAUGAUCAGAUUGUGUCGCAACAUUCAGCGGGGUUUUGACUCAAUGGGACCGCUGCUAAUAAAGUUUUUAACUAGCGAAUUUUGGAACACACCCGUUGACAAAAGUAUAAGGAGUCUCUUUCCGUGAGUUCCCCUCUUCCUCUCACUGCACUUCAACUAUGCCUUAUAGCAACCAAGAAGCUAGAAAAUGCCAACUAUUAAAAAGAUAACCUCUUUGGAAUCAAAUAAAACGGAGAUUAUCUUGGGAUCUAUUUCACAAAUUUACGGCUAAUUGGAAUGAACAGCGCCAAGUAGCACUGGACAAACUGCAGAGAGUAUUAGAACUUGCUUUAUUCCGUAUAUCGUACUUUAGGUCGUCAGUUUUACCACUUCGGUACGCAAAUGAAAAUAAAAAGCUCAUUCACAACUUAGACACAAUUUCGCCGUUUACAAGUAGCUGAAAAGUCCAUCUAUCGAAUUAUGAAUGAUACUAUUUUAAAUAUCGUCGUUACUGCACUCGUUUUCCACGUUCUUUUUAUCCACACAUCCGAUGUUUUAUUUACAGUUGAGCAUCUCAGGGCCAGCGACAAAUAUAAACAUAUUAUACUCAAAAUGAAGCUCGUUGAAAAGAGAAUAUUUCUUAACCUCUUUUACAGUGCUUUCAACACCUUUUCACCUGUGUGCCAUGUCAGAUUAAGGAUGCUCAACUUUUCGAAUUAUUAUUACAAAUUUCAAAGAAAUUACUAGUCCUUUUUGUCCCCUAAUGUAUCCCUCAUUUCAUACCGUCGUUUUGGGGUUCCAACUACGUAUAGCUUUCAAGUGUGGUUUUACGGUAAGAACAACCCCCCAUCGGUUGGUGCGGAAUACUUUCCUAUUCUCAUCGAGAGCCGAGCCAUACAUCUAAGGUGGACAGAAAGCUAAAAUUCCAAAACAGAAAAAUCUAACAUCUUUGCUCCCUUACAAGUAGGAACGCUGGCGUAUCAACCCAUCUCCAGAUUUGCCCAGCAUUUCUGUAGAACACCCAAUGCGAAUGAAGACUAAUGAAUAUUGUAAAGACAAAAAAUAGGAAAAGUUUAAUUAGUGAUGGUUCUCACCACCCCAAAACGGUCACUUGCAUGCAUUGAGGACAUGCACCUGCAGUACUUGUUUUUCUCGAAUGUUUUUACCAUCUCUUUUUUCCUUAUCUGAGCUACUGACGCAGACGGACAUUGUUUCAUAUUUCGAAAGCUGUGCGGGAAAACGGAUCCUAACACGAAUGUGAAUGCGCUAAUCAAUAUUUCCACCACAUGAAACCUGCUACUUUUUCAGUCCUCUUCGUAUGCAUUUCCCAAAAUUCAUUCGUAGCCUUGUCAACUUAGACUCAGUUCCACGGCGUGCAGGACGGGGUAUUAUGAAUAAAAGGAUCCACGGGUGAGAUUUGUUCUGUGUUUUAGGUAUGGAGUUUUGUACCACAAAACUUUAGGAAUACCGGAUUUUGUGCCUACGCCAGCCCCAGAGUAUGUUCUCACAGCUGUAAUUCCUAGUGAUCUUUUCCUGGCUCCAAUAGGAACGCCGGUAGGCAAAUUAAACUUUCGCGGCAGGAAAAAAAAGGCUUUUUCUUUUUUGCCUUUCAGUUUCUCGGAAUGUGGCAUUACAUAAGCAUAAUCCUUUUUGGGUGUGCCUGGAAAGUUCAAAUUAAGGUUUUUUUCUUCUGUUUUCUUGACAAGAAAAUGUCGCCCAAAGAGUUUCGGCCGUUAUUUUUCCUAUCGAAGUGGGUCCUUUUUGUCUUUAGUCCUUCUCUGGGGCUAGCGAUCACUGCAAAAUUAGGCUUCACUGGUACGAGUUAACUUUUUUUCUUUUUUUUUGUCAUCCUUUUCUUUGGGGCUAAGAAUGGACUUCCCUUUUCUUUUUCUUUGUUGCAGCAGUGGCUUCAAAGAACUGCUGAUUGCUCAAGGCAAUCAGUCCGAGCGUUUAGAAGGUGAUUGUAGGCAGAAAUUAACUUUGCGGUAAAAGAAUGACAUUCUUUCUUAAAAGAAAAAUUAGCUUUUUUUUGUCAGGCAUUGCACAAACUUUUUUAUUUCUGCCUAUACUCUUAAACAGAUCAGUCAUUCAUGUUGUCUUUUUAACGGUCGUACUGGGACAUCACAUGCCUUGGGAUUCCGUAAUUAGGUGCAACAAUACGGGCACAACUCAUUCUGCGCUAUCUUCACGGACUGAACUUCUAUUGCCUAUCGGUGGUGUGAUUAACAAUUGGAAGCGCAGAGCUUGGAAUGGAUUUCCAAUUCAAUGGAUUUGGAGGUAUUCGUUUGUUUACUAAUAUUUACUUUGAGGACAUUGCCCAACCCUAAAAGUGCCUGUUCCAGAAUAGAAUAACAUUAUGAUACGUUUUCUUGACCGCUGAGCAAUUUAAAGCAAUUAUUAGGGUACGAUUGUUUCUAGAGAAAUGUGGGUCAUCUUUUUAGGUCCAUUCUCUUCUGAUGAGGUAACCUUUACAAAAAUGUCAUAGAGUUACCAAUUGGGAUUCAAGGCAUCAUCGCAAUAUACUUCGUUCUCUUACGGAGAAAUUAAGCUCUUUCUACUUUGAAUUAACUGUUAGACUUGUCUUAUCUGAGGAAUGUCCGUGUUCAAAUUAAAUAAAAAUUUAGGGCAGUUUUAUUUACCUUAACAAAUAUGUUCAAGCAUGUACGU